GACGAACGCUGGCGGCGUGCCUAAUACAUGCAAGUAGAACGCUGAAGGAGGAGCUUGCUGCUCUGGAUGAGUUGCGAACGGGUGAGUAACGCGUAGGUAACCUGCCUGGUAGCGGGGGAUAACUAUUGGAAACGAUAGCUAAUACCGCAUAAGAGUAGAUGUCGCAUGACAUUUGCUGAAAAGGUGCAAUUGCAUCACUACCAGAUGGACCUGCGUUGUAUUAGCUAGUUGGUGUGGUAACGGCUCACCAAGGCAACGAUACAUAGCCGACAUGAGAGGGUGAGCGGCCGCACUGAGACGGUGACCGGGCCCAGACUCCUACGGGAAGCAGCAGUAGGGCAACGUAAGCAAGAGACGGAAGUCUGAGCGAGCAACGCCGAGUGCGUGAGGAAGAGCGUCGCGUCGUGAAGCACUGUCGUAAGAGAAGAACGCGUGUGCGCGUGGAACGUAGAGUCUGUGACGGUAUUUGACCAGAAAGCGACGGCUAACUACGUG
Molecule: ribosomal RNA, 495 nt
Filed under: uncultured bacterium
Lineage: Bacteria
Description: partial 16S ribosomal RNA
Rfam family: Bacterial small subunit ribosomal RNA
Source: RNAcentral